RNAcentral lists this long non-coding RNA (782 nucleotides) under Homo sapiens (human). RNAcentral's name for it is "HSALNT0123721". Lineage: Eukaryota; Metazoa; Chordata; Mammalia; Primates; Hominidae. The record is from RNAcentral.
GCCUUUGUCUCUGGCUCAGGCCGGAGCCUGAGAUCCAUCUCUACUGUCCCGCGUGUUGCCCCUCGGGAGCACUAGGUGACUUUGUCACAUCCUCUGUUGCCCUGAGAUCUGGAGGUACUGGGAAAUGCAUAGCUAAGAUGCCAGGACAUCCUGGAAACCAGGAAAUGGUUGUCUGCAUCUUGUUAUUGGGCCACAAGAACACACAGCCAGACCCAGUUUGGUCCAGGAACAACAUCUGGCAAGCUAGCCAAGAGUCACUGAAAUGGUGCUGCACUCAGUGGCCCGUGAUUGUGGCGAGAUGGUCAUUUGGAGACUCCCAGAAGCUGCUGGAUAAGAUUGUCCUGGGGACUCUCCCAGGGGCUAUUCCAUGUGCAAAAACCACAUGUCCCUCUCACCACUGGGGAAGAAUGGUGAUCAGGCAGGAGUGGAUGCACUCAAAGGGAAAAGUCUUUCUCUAGGACCUGGAAAUGAUUGCUCGGAAAUGUAAACAGCAAAAAAGUUAGAGCCCUAUCGCACAGCUUGCUCCAAGUUUCAAAAUUACCUUCUGUCCCUCCUGGACUUGGGACCAUUAUUUUUCCUUCAGAUAUGCCAGUCAGCAACCACAGAUGGCCUCCCCAAUUACCAGGCUCACUCAGACAUUGCUGCCUUCUCCAGCCUCUUUAAACUUUAAAGGCCAGCAGAGAAUGCUAUGUUUCAGGAUGGUGAUUGGUGGUUUUCACUUUGGACCAUAAGCAUCCGUAUUGUGGUCACCUGCUGCUGUGUAAGACAUGCCUACUUCUGCU